This 73-nucleotide transfer RNA is filed under the name Burkholderiales bacterium. Its description in RNAcentral is "tRNA-Lys". It matches the Rfam family "tRNA". From Rfam's summary of the family: Transfer RNA (tRNA) molecules are approximately 80 nucleotides in length. Their secondary structure includes four short double-helical elements and three loops (D, anti-codon, and T loops). Lineage: Bacteria; Pseudomonadati; Pseudomonadota; Betaproteobacteria; Burkholderiales. The record is from RNAcentral. RNAcentral also lists the same sequence under 4 other names.
GGGCCGUUAGCUCAGUCGGUAGAGCAUCGCACUUUUAAUGCGGUGGUCGCUGGUUCGAAUCCAGCACGGCCCA